CAGCCCGUUCCAAAUUAUUAUAUUCGUGGCUGUGAAUGGACGAAAUUGCCCUUAAGAAAUACUAAAUUUGUGAAGCUCAGGUUGCUAAUUAUCUAGGUUCCUAAGUUUGAAAAUAAAAUGGAAUUUAAUAAGGAUGGAACUUAGAUUUUUAGGUUAAAAUGUUAAAGUUUGGUGUUUGGAGAUUGGAAUAAGGACCACGUGGGAUCCCCACAUCCCUCAAAACCCUCCUCAUUUCCCGUUCACUGUCUAUCUCUCUUCCCUCACGACUCUCUCUCACUCUCAGUUCUCUCUCUUCCUCUCCGACGCUCAACCUCACCCAAAACCACCUAAAACAUAAACAAACGUCCAAGAUAAGACCACAUUUGGACUCCUGGAACUUCCACGAUCACGUAGACAUCAAUUUCAGGCUAAAAAAAGAUCACAGCGGGCUUAGUGAGGUCCCAAGGAAGCUCGGAGUGCUUCGUUGGAAGUUUUUGGACGUAAGAACACGGAGAUUGACAAGUUCAAAGUUUGGCCGGAGCUUUUCGAGGAAUUUUCCGGCGAAUCCCCGGCGAGUUAGGAGUCGAGUUUCCGGCGACCUCCGAGGCUUUCGAGGCAUUUUCCGGAAAAAAUACGGCUAACUAGGUGUUUUGCAAGGUACCAUUCUCUUUGUCUUUUCAAGGGCUACAACUUUCGUUUUUGAAUCACUUGAUUUCGUUGAGAAAAUGACAAAGUUAUGGCAAUUUGAAAAAACU
Malus domestica (apple) is the source of this 734-nucleotide non-coding RNA. NCBI's taxonomy places the organism in Eukaryota, Viridiplantae, Streptophyta, Magnoliopsida, Rosales, Rosaceae. The record is from RefSeq and is a predicted model, not a curated record.